RNAcentral lists this ribosomal RNA (513 nucleotides) under uncultured bacterium. RNAcentral's name for it is "bacterial SSU rRNA". It matches the Rfam family "Bacterial small subunit ribosomal RNA", at positions 791 to 1304 of the family's 1533-position model. The record is from RNAcentral.
UAGUCCACGCCGUAAACGAUGUCUGCUAGCCGUCGGGGUACUUGGUACUUCGGUGGCGCCGCUAACGCAUUAAGCAGACCGCCUGGGGAGUACGGUCGCAAGAUUAAAACUUAAAGGAAUUGACGGGGGCCCGCACAAGCAGUGGAACAUGUGGUUUAAUUCGAAGCAACGCGCAGAACCUUACCAGCCUUUGACAUCCUAGGACGGUUUCUGGAGACAGAUUCCUUCCCUUCGGGGACCUAGUGACAGGUGCUGCAUGGCUGUCGUCAGCUCGUGUCGUGAGAUGUUGGGUUAAGUCCCGCAACGAGCGCAACCCUCAUCCUUAGUUGCCAUCAUUUAGUUGGGCACUUUAAGGAAACUGCCGGUGAUAAGCCGGAGGAAGGUGGGGAUGACGUCAAGUCCUCAUGGCCCUUACAGGCUGGGCUACACACGUGCUACAAUGGUAUCUACAGUGAGCAGCGAUCCCGCAAGGGUCAGCUAAUCUCCAAAAGNUAUCUCAGUUCGGAUUGUUCU